This 24-nucleotide transfer RNA is filed under the name Gehyra variegata. RNAcentral describes it as "partial tRNA-Ala". Lineage: Eukaryota; Metazoa; Chordata; Lepidosauria; Squamata; Gekkonidae. The record is from RNAcentral.
GUAUAUUAAAGUUUUACAGACCUU